AUGCUCGCUUUUCAGGUACAGGCAUUUGGCCACCCACUUGGUCCAUACGCAUCCAGAGUGUUCUCAACAGUGGCAGUUCAUCCAAAGAUGGAAAAGGAGGGAGUGAAAGAGGGAUGUCAUAGAACGGAGGAAGUGCCAGAGGGGGCGAAGGAUGGAAGACGGGGAGGAAGGAGAGGCCCCCGGAUGAAGGAUUACAACAGGGAGAGUGGGACUGUUAGUUAACUGCGUGUGGGGAUACAUCCUCACUUGUUGAUUUCUUUGUCUUUAGGUUAUAAAACCCUGCCGAGUGAAUAGAGUAGCCAUAGCAUAGCCAACAUCUGGCAGCAGUGAACAGACGCAGCAGAGUUUUAGCUGAUUACAUUGUAGCUCCACCCCCUUCCGCUCUGCAUUAUCCGACUGUGUUGAUACAGCUAGAGCCAGAAUUUGUUCUCCUGACUUAGAUAGUUUACUUCUUUGCUGUCAGAUGAAUAACAGAAAACAUGCAUGCUGG
Molecule: long non-coding RNA, 490 nt
Filed under: Oreochromis niloticus (Nile tilapia)
Lineage: Eukaryota; Metazoa; Chordata; Actinopteri; Cichliformes; Cichlidae
Description: lncRNA (ENSONIG00000025148.2)
Source: RNAcentral